GUGCUCAGCUCAGCAGUGCAUAUAUUAAAAUUAGAACAACACGAUGAAGACUAGCAUGGGCCCUGCACAAGGAUGACAUGCAAAUUCGUGAAGUGUUCCAUGUUUUU
Small nuclear RNA from Cavia porcellus (domestic guinea pig), 107 nucleotides. NCBI's taxonomy places the organism in Eukaryota, Metazoa, Chordata, Mammalia, Rodentia, Caviidae. The record is from Ensembl.